GGAGGAAAAGAAACCAACAGGGAUUGCCCUAGUAACGGCGAGUGAAGCGGCAACAGCUCAAAUUUGAAAUCUGGCGUAAGCCCGAGUUGUAAUUUGUAGAGGAUGCUUCUGGGUAGCGGCCGGUCUAAGUUCCUUGGAACAGGACGUCAUAGAGGGUGAGAAUCCCGUAUGUGACUGGCUUGCACCCUCCACGUAGCUCCUUCGACGAGUCGAGUUGUUUGGGAAUGCAGCUCUAAAUGGGAGGUAAAUUUCUUCUAAAGCUAAAUACCGGCCAGAGACCGAUAGCGCACAAGUAGAGUGAUCGAAAGAUGAAAAGCACUUUGGAAAGAGAGUUAAAAAGCACGUGAAAUUGUUGAAAGGGAAGCGCCCGCAACCAGACUUUGCGGCGGUGUUCGGCUGGUCUUCUGACCGGUUUACUCGCCGCCGUGAGGCCAUCAUCGUCUGGGACCGCUGGAUAAGACCUGAGGAAUGUAGCUCCCUUCGGGGUGUGUUAUAGCCUCUGGUGAUGCAGCGCGUCUCGGGCGAGGUCCGCGCUUCGGCAAGGAUGAUGGCGUAAUGGUUGUCGGCGGCCCGUCUUGAAACACGGWCCAAGGAGUCUAACAUCUAUGCGAGUGUUCGGGUGUCAAACCCCUACGCGUAAUGAAAGUGAACGGAGGUGGGAACUUUUUGUGCACCAUCGACCGAUCCUGAUGUCCUCGGAUGGAUUUGAGUAAGAGCAUAGCUGUUGGGACCCGAAAGAUGGUGAACUAUGCCUGAAUAGGGUGAAGCCAGAGGAAACUCUGGUGGAGGCUCGCAGCGGUUCUGACGUGCAAAUCGAUCGUCAAAUUGGGGUAUAGGGGCGAAAGACUAAUC
RNAcentral lists this ribosomal RNA (852 nucleotides) under Pseudocercospora chengtuensis. RNAcentral describes it as "eukaryotic LSU rRNA". It matches the Rfam family "Eukaryotic large subunit ribosomal RNA", at positions 52 to 936 of the family's 3401-position model. Lineage: Eukaryota; Fungi; Ascomycota; Dothideomycetes; Mycosphaerellales; Mycosphaerellaceae. The record is from RNAcentral.